AGUGUAGGCUGGUUGGGAGUUGUGUCACUGCUCAUGCUCUUAAAAUGUUGGUGCCUGUAGAAGACACAUUUCCGAGGUGAGCAGGACGAUUAUGAGAUGGAGUUACAUCGGGAUGCCACCGGGCUGCUAGCAAAGCCGGGAGAAGAAGAAUAUUGGGACAGGGACAUGGAAAGGUGGAUUUCGGUGUAGGAAUGGAGGAGGAAAAAGAGGAAGAAGAGGUUCUACAAAAUGUACGUCAAUGCUUAUGUCCCAAACCCAGACCACCCUGAGGACGUCCUGCCUUAGCUGUGGGGACAUGAGUUCUCUUACCAAGACUACAAAAGGAUUCCCCGUUUACAUUUGCCUCCUGGUAAAAUGGGUUGCACUUUAACUCUUAUUUAAGCAUUGUUGUUUGUUGUUUUGCUGUUAUAUUCCAACACACUGGUUCUUGUGUACAUUUUGGUGUUAUUUCUCCUCCCGGUUUGUGUUCUGAUAGAAGCACUGUGGAGGCAAUGUUCAAAUUAGACCUGUGACAAUAAAUGCAGUGUUGAAGAUGA
Coregonus clupeaformis (lake whitefish) is the source of this 536-nucleotide long non-coding RNA. RefSeq lists it as uncharacterized. The record is from RefSeq and is a predicted model, not a curated record. The transcript has 2 exons. NCBI's taxonomy places the organism in Eukaryota, Metazoa, Chordata, Actinopteri, Salmoniformes, Salmonidae.